Planococcus citri (citrus mealybug) is the source of this 988-nucleotide long non-coding RNA. RefSeq lists it as uncharacterized. The transcript has 3 exons. The record is from RefSeq and is a predicted model, not a curated record. NCBI's taxonomy places the organism in Eukaryota, Metazoa, Arthropoda, Insecta, Hemiptera, Pseudococcidae.
CUCACUAGUGAUAAUCCUUUAACUAAAAUGCCAGAAGGAAGAAUCAAGUCUAGGUAGUAUUUAACGGUACCUCUACAUAGUAGCAGAUUAUCAGACAAUGUGUUGGAAAUUGUAUCAAUGGUACGGUUUGGUCGCCAGUUUAUCAGUUUCUAAAGCAUAUAUUCGGUGUUUGGAGAAAAGUGUUGAGAAUUGCGAGAUUUUUAUUGUUUUUUAAUUCCGUGUAAUCAGAUCAUCCAACAAAUAUGAUCCGAUUAGAACGAUGUUGAUGCGGAUGUGAACUUCGAACCGGAACUAUUGUCUUUUUGGUUUUGAAAGCUAUAUUUGCUGUUUACCAGUUGCAUUCGGUGUAUCUCGGUUUUAAGGCACAUGAUAUGGAUAUUACAAGAAUAGAAACAUAUCGAUGUACUCUUUUUUUUUCGAUGUACCUACCUCAGUCUUAUGUCAGUCACCUGCAAGUUAAAUGAAUUUCUCUCUUUGACACCUUUAUUUUUACAGACUACAAUAUACUUUACUCGUUGAUUAGCGGUGUUGUUAUGAUAAUCGCAUGUUGUACAAGAAUCAGAGUAAUCUCAAAGGACAGAGCAAAAUUUCUAGUGCCUUUCAUCUGCUGCCAAUCCAUAAUGCUGUUCUUUUACGUGGCAUUUUCAUAUUAUGGUUUUUGUUCAACGAAUCUUUGUAUAUUACCGAUCUUCUCAACGAAUUAGCCAAAUUUGUAUUAGAUGAUUACACUCAACGUGUCAUUAACAAAUUCCUCGCCCGCGAACCAUUCAUAUUCACCGCUGUUAUGUUUCUAUUAUUAGGUGGGUACUUAUUAUUUAGGUAUUACUUACUUACUCAGUAGGUACUUCAUUACCUGGUUCGAGUUAAUUACAGUUGAAAUAAGUAUCUACAGUAUGUCUGAAAAAUUUGUUCCGAAAAUUCUAAUGACUUUCUACUGGAAUUGUAUUUUUUAGAAUUUUUAAUUGAGAACUUUCGAAAAUAUUUUUAA